CCAAUAGCGUGUAUUAAAGUUGUUGCAGUUAAAAAGCUCGUAGUUGAAUUUCGGGAUCAUCAGGUUGGUCGUGCCUCUGGUAUGUACUGAUUUCGAUGGUUCCUCCUUCUUGAAGAUCCGUAAUGUCAUUAAUUUGGUGUUGCGGGGAAUCAGGACUGUUACUUUGAAAAAAUUAGAGUGUUUAAAGCAGGCAAUCGCUUGAAUACAUUAGCAUGGAAUAAUGAAAUAGGACGUUCGGUCCUAUUUUGUUGGUUUCUAGGAUUGACGUAAUGAUUAAUAGGGAUAGUUGGGGGCAUUAGUAUUCAAUUGUCAGAGGUGAAAUUCUUGGAUUUAUUGAAGACUAACUACUGCGAAAGCAUUUGCCAAGGAUGUUUUCAUUAAUCAAGAACGAAAGUUAGGGGAUCGAAGACGAUCGGAUACCGUCGUAGUCUUAACCAUAAACUAUGCCGACUAGGGAUCGGAUGAUGUUAAUUUUUUAAUGACUCAUUCGGCGCCUUACG
RNAcentral lists this ribosomal RNA (500 nucleotides) under uncultured Glomeromycotina. Its description in RNAcentral is "partial small subunit ribosomal RNA". It matches the Rfam family "Eukaryotic small subunit ribosomal RNA", at positions 591 to 1092 of the family's 1831-position model. The record is from RNAcentral. Lineage: Eukaryota; Fungi; Glomeromycota.